This is a non-coding RNA of Delphinapterus leucas (beluga whale), 1225 nucleotides long. Lineage: Eukaryota; Metazoa; Chordata; Mammalia; Artiodactyla; Monodontidae. The record is from RefSeq and is a predicted model, not a curated record.
CGGUGAGCCACAGCCACCCCCCGCCUCUGCAGGAGACCCUCCAACACUAGCAGGGAACUGAUAACCUGGUGUCUAAAGUGUGUAGAGAGAAUCUUGGAAGAAACUUCAGGAAAGGAAGAAACAAGGCCAUCAAAACCUUCAAAGCGAAUAAGGAAUAAAGUUGAGUUGGAGAAUGCUCCCUCAUCUAUAAAAUAUGUGCACCAGCCGUUCUUGUGUGCUGAGUGUGUGUGAGGCACCAGACUCUUAACACACCUUAUCUCAUUUGAUCUUCAUGAAACCGGGUGGCAUUAUCAGUUGCAUUUUGUCGAUGAGGAAGCUGAGUCUCAGAGAGAUGAGAUGAUUUACCUGUGGUCACUGCGAGGAGGCCACAAUCAGAAGCCCAGACAGAAAAGAGCAUCACGGACUAUGGCCUGGGGCCUUCAACAACCAGGAAGGAGAGAAGCCCAGAAAAGAGACAGAGGAGUGGCCAGUGAAAUGAGGAAGAUCAGAAAAGCCUGAUGUCCAGGAAGCCAAGUGAAGAAAGUAGAUUCUGUGUGACCACAAUCACAUGUCAACUCCUGAGCCUCAGUUUUCUCAUCCAUGAAAUGGUGAGAGUAACAACUGCCCACUUCAUGGUGUUGUUAGGAUUGAGGCAAUGUAUGUAAAGCAGUUAACACUUGUGUCUGACUGGUAUAUAGGAAACUCUCAGUCUAUGGUAGCAUUGUUAUUAUUUCCUCCACUUCAGAGUAGGCUGCCACAGCCCUCAGCUUCCCCAUCCACAUAAGUGACUGCACCUCCAUGAGUCCUUCUCAGAAAUGAGGUGUUCCUGCUCACUCAGGCAACCAGGUGGUCCUGACGAGUGGCCUCUGGGUCAAAUUUGAACCAAGUGACUUCAGUGCCUAAACCUCUCACCCACACAGCUUCCAGCCCUUACUUGCAAAUCAACAAGUGGUAAAUAAAGGUUUUAGAGCCAGAAUUCUGCCUCUGCCUCUCACCAGCUGUGGGAUCCUAAGCAAGCUUCUUAAACUUCCUGAGCCUUGAAUUCUAUCUGUAAAAUGGGAACAAUUCCUACUUCAUGACAUUGUGUCCAGGCCCGCGCGGACUAUAAAUAAAGCCGGCUGAUCUCCUCCUGCAUGGCGGCGUGGGAGUCACUGGGGCUCUUUGACACCCUCCCACGCAUCCCCACAACCUAGCUGGGCGGGUCUCUUGGAUCCCCUAACCUGCGCUGUAGGACAGUUAGCUCAGA